Molecule: ribosomal RNA, 259 nt
Filed under: uncultured bacterium
Lineage: Bacteria
Description: partial 16S ribosomal RNA
Rfam family: Bacterial small subunit ribosomal RNA
Source: RNAcentral
UACGUAGGUGGCAAGCGUUACUCGGAAUCACUAGGCGGUAAAGCGCGGGUAGGCGGUUGGGUAAGUCUCUUGUGAAAGCGUCCCGGCUUAACUGGGAGAGGUCAAGGGAAACUACCUGGCUAGAGUGCGGUAGAGGAAGCUGGAAUUCCUGGUGUAGCGGUGGAAAUGACGUAGAUAUCAGGAGGAACACCUAUGGCGAAAGCAGGCUUCUGGACCGUCACUGACGCUGGAUCCGACGAAAGCUAGGGGAGCAAACAGG